AAGGCUUAAAGUCAGCAGCCCAACUCAUUAAGAGAGCGCUAAAGUAUUUUAAACUGCGCGGCAUUGAGAAAACAGAAGAUGCGCUAAAGAAAAUAUAACAAAAAGAAAGUGUGUGUGUGAGCGAUGUUGUGACUGAAGGGGGCAGUAUUUGUUGAUGCCAAAGGAGAGAGGUUCCAAUUUAAAAACACGCAAUAUCAAUUUUAAUUGAUUGCGAAGGACAAAGCAGCUGAAAUCAUGCCAUUUCCUGCCAGGUCUCACAUGGUGGGUGGGAGUUUGAUUCAUCAGCACCUCAAAAGCCUUCACUCCCACGAAAAGAGAUAAGAGAGAUGAUAUAAUCUUAAGCUUCAGGUUCCUAGGACAACUUUUCACAUUCAAUCAAGCAAACUUAUCUCGUUUAGGGCAAAUAUAUCUAGAGACGUGAGCUUUCCGCUUAUGUUCGGACAACCUUCGGGAAAAUUGCCAUGGCCACCAAUGAUCGCCAGAUGUGUUUUCGGAAACGUACAAAUUGAGAAAAAGUCAUGAGUUCUUUUAAGCUUGUUAAUCU
Long non-coding RNA from Ceratitis capitata (Mediterranean fruit fly), 544 nucleotides. RefSeq lists it as uncharacterized. The record is from RefSeq and is a predicted model, not a curated record. Lineage: Eukaryota; Metazoa; Arthropoda; Insecta; Diptera; Tephritidae. The transcript is spliced from 3 exons.